RNAcentral lists this ribosomal RNA (492 nucleotides) under uncultured bacterium. Its description in RNAcentral is "partial 16S ribosomal RNA". It matches the Rfam family "Bacterial small subunit ribosomal RNA", at positions 29 to 507 of the family's 1533-position model. The record is from RNAcentral.
AGUGAACGCUGGCGGUAGGCCUAACACAUGCAAGUCGAACGGCAGCACAGUAAGAGCUUGCUCUUACGGGUGGCGAGUGGCGGACGGGUGAGGAAUACAUCGGAAUCUACUUUUUCGUGGGGGAUAACGUAGGGAAACUUACGCUAAUACCGCAUACGACCUACGGGUGAAAGCAGGGGAUCUUCGGACCUUGCGCGAUUGAAUGAGCCGAUGUCGGAUUAGCUAGUUGGCGGGGCAAAGGCCCACCAAGGCGACGAUCCGUAGCUGGUCUGAGAGGAUGAUCCGCCAGACUGGAACUGAGACACGGUCCAGACUCCUACGGGAGGCAGCAGUCGGGAAUAUUGGACGAUGGGCGCGAGGCUGAUCCAGCAAUACCGCGUGAGUGAAGAAGGCCUUCGGGUGGUAAAGCCCUUUUGUUGGGAGAGAAGAACAGCAGGUUAAUACCCCGCUGUUCUGACGGUACCCAAAGAAUAAGCACCGGCUAACUUCGUG